Y RNA from Macaca fascicularis (crab-eating macaque), 76 nucleotides. It matches the Rfam family "Y RNA". From Rfam's summary of the family: Y RNAs are components of the Ro ribonucleoprotein particle (Ro RNP), in association with Ro60 and La proteins. The Y RNAs and Ro60 and La proteins are well conserved, but the function of the Ro RNP is not known. In humans the RNA component can be one of four small RNAs -- hY1, hY3, hY4 and hY5. Lineage: Eukaryota; Metazoa; Chordata; Mammalia; Primates; Cercopithecidae. The record is from Ensembl.
AGUUGGUCCGAGUGUCGUAGGUCAUUGUUAAGCUGAUUUAACAUUGUCUCCCCCUAUAACCACACCUGACUAUUAA